This is a long non-coding RNA of Cucurbita maxima (winter squash), 1747 nucleotides long. RefSeq lists it as uncharacterized. NCBI's taxonomy places the organism in Eukaryota, Viridiplantae, Streptophyta, Magnoliopsida, Cucurbitales, Cucurbitaceae. The record is from RefSeq and is a predicted model, not a curated record. The transcript has 2 exons.
CCUUUCGAACUUCCCCUCAAGGUUUUUAAAACGUGUCUGCUAGGGAGAGGUUUCCACACCCUUAUAAAGAAUGAUUUGUUCUCCUCCCUAACCGAUGUGGGAUCUCACAUUUAUGCUUGAUCCUUCAUGAACAGCAGUCCAGAUGAUCACUUUCAUCAUUUUAGGGUACUUUUCUUUCUUUAGAGCCUUGAAUAGUGCCUUCGGUGCAGGGUGAUCUGCUGUAAGCUUUCUGAAGAGAGACUUGCAAGUUAGAAUACCCGAAGGAUCUAUUUUACAAACUAUUCUGUCCUCCAAAUUUCCAAAAGCAUGUCCAUUCCACUAUUUCAAGUUAUUUGGAGUUCGAAUGACUGUAAUGUUAGCCUUGACACUGUCGAAUUGAGGAGUUUUUGCUACCUGUCUACUCGUAACUUUAAAAUUUUACCAUCUUGCCAACUUUGAAGGUACAAAUCUCAAUCAGAAUGACGAAAGUUCCAAAAUAUGCAUCCUUAAACUGCAGCUUCCGGCUUUUGUUCUUUUCAUAUGUUUGCCACCAAAAUCCUUCCUUGCUUAACUUACUACUUAUUUGUCUUUAUGCCUUAAGAAAUCAUGCUUCAGAAGCUAUUUGAUGAGGGAAAGUAUUUAUGACUGGCAUAUUGUUAAAAUGCCCUAAGCUUCUACUUCUUAAGGAUGGGUAGCAAUGCCUUCGUUAAUAAGAUGACAUCUCCCAUCAAGGUCCUGCCCCUCCACAUAGACAUUACCCCUUUUGUAUUUUGUUCAUCCCACAUUUAUAAUAAUGCAAGUUGACUCUCAAACCGGAAGCUGACUACUUCAAAUCUAUUCCUAUGUCAAAAGAAGUAGAAUUGUUGGGAGAGGAGUCUCAUAUCGACUAAUUAAGGGGUUGAUCAUGGGUUUAUAAGUAAGGAGUGCAUCUCCAUUGGUAUGCGGCCUUUUGGAGAAUGAAAAGAAAAACCAUGAGGGCUUAUGUUCAAAGUGGACAAUAUCAUGCCAUUGUGGAGGUUUGUGGUUUCUAAUAGAAAUUAGUGUAUCACACUGCAAGUUCAAUGAUCCUGUGAACUCUUUUGAUACUGAAACCUUUUAGAAAACCAGUCUCGAAGGCUCAUGAGGAUAAGCUACAUCAAUCUCUAAGUUCAAUCAAAUAGAUGGAGGUUACGAUGACAGUAUGCCUCUCAUUGUUCAAAGAUGUGACUGAUAGAUAUACAUGAAAAGUUGUUAAAAGAGUCUUUAGACUAUUAUAAUGUGACAAUUUUUAUUUUGAGCACUAUUGAUAAUUGAAUGCAUAUUGAACUGGAAAGUUUUUAGUUGAGUUCUCUCUACCCUACUGCUAACUCCAAGUUGCGUUAUAAUCAGCAGGACAUCUAAUAUCUAGUUGCACUUGGUGACACAUACAUAAGAUAUGAAAGAGGUUUUCAACUGAAUUUGCGUAUGAAAGCUUUUGAGAUCUUAUCACAGCUUCAUUUUUUGGCUGAUAACCUCUUAGCCUCUCUCUACUGUGGCAAGUUGGUCUCUUGAACCUUCCUCAAAUGAAAGGAUGAGUACCAGGAAUUAUUCAAAUGCACUUCCAAAAAGAGGUUGCGGGGUUUAACCCGAAUCAUUGGUCAGUUAAAUCCCUUCAAAUUUGGUUUAGAAAGAAGCUUCGAUAAUGGAUUUGCUGCUUUCAUUUGGAAAUAAAAAGCUUGAAAAAGAAUGUAGUUUUUUCCCCUGACAGUGGCCCCAUGGAAGAUUAAUACUAUGGAUUAGAUUCUGAAGA